UGGGGCGUAGCCAAGUGGUAAGGCAACGGGUUUUGGUCCCGCUAUUCGGAGGUUCGAAUCCUUCCGUCCCAGC
RNAcentral lists this transfer RNA (73 nucleotides) under Genlisea aurea. RNAcentral describes it as "tRNA-Gln". It matches the Rfam family "tRNA". Rfam says of the family: Transfer RNA (tRNA) molecules are approximately 80 nucleotides in length. Their secondary structure includes four short double-helical elements and three loops (D, anti-codon, and T loops). The record is from RNAcentral. RNAcentral also lists the same sequence under 4 other names. Lineage: Eukaryota; Viridiplantae; Streptophyta; Magnoliopsida; Lamiales; Lentibulariaceae.